Molecule: ribosomal RNA, 950 nt
Filed under: uncultured archaeon
Lineage: Archaea
Description: bacterial SSU rRNA
Rfam family: Archaeal small subunit ribosomal RNA
Source: RNAcentral
CUAAGCCAUGCGAGUCAUUGUAGCAAUACAAGGCAGACGGCUCAGUAACGCGUAGUCAAUCUACCCUAUGGACGGGAAUAACCUCGGGAAACUGAGAAUAAUGCCCGAUAGAACAUUAUGCCUGGAAUGGUUUAUGUUUCAAAUGAUUUAUCGCCAUAGGAUGGGACUGCGGCCUAUCAGUUUGUUGGUGAGGUAAUGGCCCACCAAGACUAUUACAGGUACGGGCUCUGAGAGGAGUAGCCCGGAGAUGGGUACUGAGACACGGACCCAGGCCCUAUGGGGCGCAGCAGGCGAGAAAACUUUGCAAUGUGCGAAAGCACGACAAGGUUAAUCCGAGUGGUUUCUGCUAAAGAAACCUUUUGUCAGUCCUAGAAACACUGACGAAUAAGGGGUGGGCAAGUUCUGGUGUCAGCCGCCGCGGUAAAACCAGCACCUCAAGUGGUCAGGAUGAUUAUUGGGCCUAAAGCAUCCGUAGCUCGUUUUGUAAGUUUUCAGUUAAAUCCAUGCGCUUAACGUAUGGGCUGCCGGGAAUACUGCAUAACUAGGAAGUGGGAGAGGUAGACGGUACUCGGUAGGAAGGGGUAAAAUCCUUUGAUCUAUUGAUGACCACCUGUGGCGAAGGCGGUCUACCAGAACACGUUCGACGGUGAGGGAUGAAAGCUGGGGGAGCAAACCGGAUUAGAUACCCGGGUAGUCCCAGCUGUAAACUAUGCAAACUCAGUGAUGCAUUGGCUUGUGGCCAAUGCAGUGCUGCAGGGAAGCCGUUAAGUUUGCCGCCUGGGAAGUACGUACGCAAGUAUGAAACUUAAAGGAAUUGGCGGGGGAGCACCACAAGGGGUGAAGCCUGCGGUUCAAUUGGAGUCAACGCCAGAAAUCUUACCCGGAGAGACAGCAGAAUGAAGGUCAAGCUGAAGACUUUACCAGACAAGCUGAGAGGAGGUGCAUGGCCA